RNAcentral lists this transfer RNA (74 nucleotides) under Bartonella sp. 1-1C. Its description in RNAcentral is "tRNA-Arg". It matches the Rfam family "tRNA". Rfam says of the family: Transfer RNA (tRNA) molecules are approximately 80 nucleotides in length. Their secondary structure includes four short double-helical elements and three loops (D, anti-codon, and T loops). Further hydrogen bonds mediate the characteristic L-shaped molecular structure. tRNAs have two regions of fundamental functional importance: the anti-codon, which is responsible for specific mRNA codon recognition, and the 3' end, to which the tRNAs corresponding amino acid is attached (by aminoacyl-tRNA synthetases). tRNAs cope with the degeneracy of the genetic code in two manners: having more than one tRNA (with a specific anti-codon) for a particular amino acid; and 'wobble' base-pairing, i.e. permitting non-standard base-pairing at the 3rd anti-codon position. Lineage: Bacteria; Pseudomonadati; Pseudomonadota; Alphaproteobacteria; Hyphomicrobiales; Bartonellaceae. RNAcentral also lists the same sequence under 6 other names. The record is from RNAcentral.
GGUCCCGUAGCUCAGUUGGAUAGAGCAACGGCCUUCUAAGCCGCAGGUCACAGGUUCGAAUCCUGUCGGGAUCG